This 270-nucleotide long non-coding RNA is filed under the name Setaria viridis. RNAcentral's name for it is "long non-coding RNA (SVIR_LNC004573)". The record is from RNAcentral. Lineage: Eukaryota; Viridiplantae; Streptophyta; Magnoliopsida; Poales; Poaceae.
GUUCGAGUCCUGACCGGCAUCAAAGUUCAUGGUUUUUCCACGAGGAAAGGCAACGAGCCCCCGGAUCCGGCCGAACGGACCCGGGAACUAUAUGAACUGGCCAGCUGGAGAUUGGAGUACGCCACCAGCUUGGCCCGAGCCGGACCCCCCCGAACGGGGACCGGGACUCCACUCGAACCUACCCGUUUGCAGCUCAACGAGCACCACGGUUCGUCCAACGAGGAUAACGUGGCACGGCUCAACCCCUUCGUCCUAGCGAACAGACGCUUG